AUUGAACGCUGGCGGCAUGCCUUACACAUGCAAGUCGAACGGUAACAGGUCUUCGGAUGCUGACGAGUGGCGAACGGGUGAGUAAUACAUCGGAACGUGCCCAGUUGUGGGGGAUAACUGCUCGAAAGAGCAGCUAAUACCGCAUACGACCUGAGGGUGAAAGCGGGGGAUCGCAAGACCUCGCGCAAUUGGAGCGGCCGAUAUCAGAUUAGGUAGUUGGUGGGGUAAAGGCUCACCAAGCCGACGAUCUGUAGCUGGUCUGAGAGGACGACCAGCCACACUGGGACUGAGACACGGCCCAGACUCCUACGGGAGGCAGCAGUGGGGAAUUUUGGACAAUGGGCGCAAGCCUGAUCCAGCCAUGCCGCGUGCGGGAAGAAGGCCUUCGGGUUGUAAACCGCUUUUGUCAGGGAAGAAACGCUCUGGGUUAAUACCCUGGGGUAAUGACGGUACCUGAAGAAUAAGCACCGGCUAACUACGUGCCAGCCGCCGCAGUAA
RNAcentral lists this ribosomal RNA (498 nucleotides) under uncultured bacterium. Its description in RNAcentral is "partial 16S ribosomal RNA". It matches the Rfam family "Bacterial small subunit ribosomal RNA", at positions 30 to 523 of the family's 1533-position model. The record is from RNAcentral.